RNAcentral lists this ribosomal RNA (269 nucleotides) under uncultured prokaryote. RNAcentral's name for it is "partial 16S ribosomal RNA". It matches the Rfam family "Bacterial small subunit ribosomal RNA", at positions 524 to 792 of the family's 1533-position model. The record is from RNAcentral.
UACGGAGGUUGCAAGCGUUGUUCGGAAUGACUGGGCGUAAAGCGGGCGCAGGCGGCUUAGCCAGUCUGAAGUGAAAGCCCGGGGCUCAACCCCGGAAUAGCUUUGGAUACUACUAGGCUUGAGUGCGUGAGAGGAGAGUGGAAUUCCUGGUGUAGCGGUGAAAUGCGUAGAUAUCAGGAGGAACACCAAUGGCGAAAGCAGCUCUCUGGCACGUUACUGACGCUGAGGCCCGAAAGCGUGGGGAGCGAACAGGAUUAGAUACCCCAGUA